UGGCUGAGCUGGGAUUCAAACCCAGGAUUGCAACACCAAAAUUUGUACAGUGCACCUUGCUGCCACCAUGCUAAGAAAGUGGCUGUGGAAAUGGGGAUGACUUUCAAGAGAUAUUUAGUAAAUGGAACCAACAAGGAAGCUUUUGGCCAGUCAGAUGUGGCAAGGGAAUAGAAAGAAGAGUCCAAGGUGACUCCUGUGCUUCUAGCUCGGGUACAUUUGUGAAGUAAUGUGAUUCAUCAAGGGAGUGCUUGGAAUGGGUUUGGACACAAUGAGUUUGGGACAAUGGCACAUCUGAUCCAGACACUGCUGGAUCAUACCUCUACCAAGGCAUCCCAUGAACAACUGAAAUCUGAGUCAGGAGAUAGUAGAUGUAGGAGUCAUUAUUUGUAUGACAUCCUUGACAAACCCUGUUGGGGAACCACACAGACCCUUCU
Molecule: long non-coding RNA, 434 nt
Filed under: Homo sapiens (human)
Lineage: Eukaryota; Metazoa; Chordata; Mammalia; Primates; Hominidae
Description: HSALNT0221405
Source: RNAcentral